Molecule: small nuclear RNA, 71 nt
Filed under: Monodelphis domestica (gray short-tailed opossum)
Lineage: Eukaryota; Metazoa; Chordata; Mammalia; Didelphimorphia; Didelphidae
Description: 7SK RNA
Rfam family: 7SK RNA
About the family: 7SK was discovered as an abundant small nuclear RNA in the mid-70s but a possible function has only recently been suggested.
Source: Rfam by way of RNAcentral
GCUGUGACAUCUGUCAUCCCAUUAAUCACCAGGGUUGAUUCCAUUGAUGUGGCUGGCUAGGUGGAUGUCCC